RNAcentral lists this ribosomal RNA (582 nucleotides) under uncultured bacterium. Its description in RNAcentral is "bacterial SSU rRNA". It matches the Rfam family "Bacterial small subunit ribosomal RNA", at positions 345 to 917 of the family's 1533-position model. The record is from RNAcentral.
GAGGCAGCAGUGGGGAAUUUUGCGCAAUGGGCGAAAGCCUGACGCAGCAACGCCGCGUGAGUGAUGAAGGCUUUCGGGUCGUAAAGCUCUGUCGAUGGGAAAGAAGUGUAAGGUGGUUAAUACCCGCUUUACUUGACGGUACCCAUAAAGGAAGCACCGGCUAACUCCGUGCCAGCAGCCGCGGUAAUACGGGGGGUGCAAGCGUUGUUCGGAAUUAUUGGGCGUAAAGCGCGUGUAGGCGGUUUGAUUAGUCUGAUGUGAAAGCCCUGGGCUCAACCCAGGAAGUGCAUUGGAAACUGUCAGACUUGAAUACGGGAGAGGGUAGUGGAAUUCCUAGUGUAGGAGUGAAAUCCGUAGAUAUUAGGAGGAACACCGGUGGCGAAGGCGGCUACCUGGACCGAUAUUGACGCUGAGACGCGAAAGCGUGGGUAGCAAACAGGAUUAGAUACCCUGGUAGUCCACGCCGUAAACGAUGAGUACUAGGUGUUGCGGGUAUUGACCCCUGCAGUGCCGCAGCUAACGCAUUAAGUACUCCGCCUGGGAAGUACGGUCGCAAGACUAAAACUCAAAGGAAUUGACGGA